This 438-nucleotide ribosomal RNA is filed under the name uncultured bacterium. Its description in RNAcentral is "bacterial SSU rRNA". It matches the Rfam family "Bacterial small subunit ribosomal RNA", at positions 338 to 795 of the family's 1533-position model. The record is from RNAcentral.
CCUANGGGGGGCAGCAGUGAGGAAUUUUCCGCAAUGGGCGAAAGCCUGACGGAGCGACGCCGUGUGUGGGAUUAAGUCUUUCGGGAUGUAAACCACUGUCAGAGGGAAAGAUAUUGACGGUACCCUCAGAGGAAGCCCGGCUAACUACGUGCCAGCAGCCGCGGUAAUACGUAGGGGGCGAGCGUUGUCCGGAAUUAUUGGGCGUAAAGGGCGCGUAGGUGGUCUUGUAAGUCAGAUGUUAAAUCCAUCCGCUCAACGGAUGGCCGCAUCUGAUACUGCUUGACUAGAGAGUGGUAGAGGAAAGCGGAACUACCGGUGUAGCGGUGAAAUGCGUAGAUAUCGGUAGGAACACCAGUGGCGAAGGCGGCUUUCUGGGCCAUUUCUGACGCUGAGGCGCGAAAGCUAGGGGAGCAAACGGGAUUAGAUACCCUGNUANUC